AACGCUGGCGGCGUGCCUAAUACAUGCAAGUCGAGCGAGCGGAACUAACAGAUUUACUUCGGUAAUGACGUUAGGAAAGCGAGCGGCGGAUGGGCGAGUAACACGUGGGGAACCUGCCCCAUAGUCUGGGAUACCACUUGGAAACAGGUGCUAAUACCGGAUAAGAAAGCAGAUCGCAUGAUCAGCUUUUAAAAGGCGGCGUAAGCUGUCGCUAUGGGAUGGCCCCGCGGUGCAUUAGCUAGUUGGUAAGGUAAAGGCUUACCAAGGCGAUGAUGCAUAGCCGAGUUGAGAGACUGAUCGGCCACAUUGGGACUGAGACACGGCCCAAACUCCUACGGGAGGCAGCAGUAGGGAAUCUUCCACAAUGGACGCAAGUCUGAUGGAGCAACGCCGCGUGAGUGAAGAAGGUUUUCGGAUCGUAAAGCUCUGUUGUUGGUGAAGAAGGAUAGAGGUAGUAACUGGCCUUUAUUUGACGGUAAUCAACCAGAAAGUCACGGCUAACUACGUGCCAGCAGCCGCGGUAAUACGUAGGUGGCAAGCGUUGUCCGGAUUUAUUGGGCGUAAAGCGAGCGCAGGCGGAAGAAUAAGUCUGAUGUGAAAGCCCUCGGCUUAACCGAGGAACUGCAUCGGAAACUGUUUUUCUUGAGUGCAGAAGAGGAGAGUGGAACUCCAUGUGUAGCGGUGGAAUGCGUAGAUAUAUGGAAGAACACCAGUGGCGAAGGCGGCUCUCUGGUCUGCAACUGACGCUGAGGCUCGAAAGCAUGGGUAGCGAACAGGAUUAGAUACCCUGGUAGUCCAUGCCGUAAACGAUGAGUGCUAAGUGUUGGGAGGUUUCCGCCUCUCAGUGCUGCAGCUAACGCAUUAAGCACUCCGCCUGGGGAGUACGACCGCAAGGUUGAAACUCAAAGGAAUUGACGGGGGCCCGCACAAGCGGUGGAGCAUGUGGUUUAAUUCGAAGCAACGCGAAGAACCUUACCAGGUCUUGACAUCUAGUGUCAUUUGUAGAGAUACAAAGUUCCCUUCGGGGACGCUAAGACAGGUGGUGCAUGGCUGUCGUCAGCUCGUGUCGUGAGAUGUUGGGUUAAGUCCCGCAACGAGCGCAACCCUUGUUAUUAGUUGCCAGCACUAAGUUGGGCACUCUAAUGAGACUGCCGGUGACAAACCGGAGGAAGGUGGGGAUGACGUCAAGUCAUCAUGCCCCUUAUGACCUGGGCUACACACGUGCUACAAUGGGCAGUACAACGAGAAGCGAGCCUGCGAAGGCAAGCGAAUCUCUGAAAGCUGUUCUCAGUUCGGACUGCAGUCUGCAACUCGACUGCACGAAGCUGGAAUCGCUAGUAAUCGCGGAUCAGCACGCCGCGGUGAAUACGUUCCCGGGCCUUGUACACACCGCCCGUCACACCAUGGGAGUCUGCAAUGCCCAAAGCCGGUGGCCUAACCUUCGGGAAGGAGCCGUCUAAGGCAGGGCAGAUGACUGGGGUGAA
This 1484-nucleotide ribosomal RNA is filed under the name uncultured organism. Its description in RNAcentral is "SSU rRNA". It matches the Rfam family "Bacterial small subunit ribosomal RNA". The record is from RNAcentral.